Molecule: ribosomal RNA, 235 nt
Filed under: uncultured bacterium
Lineage: Bacteria
Description: partial 16S ribosomal RNA
Rfam family: Bacterial small subunit ribosomal RNA
Source: RNAcentral
CGGACGGGUGAGUAACGCGUGGGUAACCUGCCUCAUACAGGGGGAUAGCAGCUGGAAACGGCUGAUAAAACCGCAUAAGCGCACAGCACCGCAUGGUGCAGGGGUAAAAACUCCGGUGGUAUGAGAUGGACCCGCGUCUGAUUAGGUAGUUGGUGGGGUAACGGCCUACCAAGCCGACGAUCAGUAGCCGACCUGAGAGGGUGACCGGCCACAUUGGGACUGAGACACGGCCCAG